RNAcentral lists this ribosomal RNA (492 nucleotides) under uncultured bacterium. RNAcentral describes it as "partial 16S ribosomal RNA". It matches the Rfam family "Bacterial small subunit ribosomal RNA", at positions 29 to 507 of the family's 1533-position model. The record is from RNAcentral.
AGUGAACGCUGGCGGUAGGCCUAACACAUGCAAGUCGAACGGCAGCACAGUAAGAGCUUGCUCUUACGGGUGGCGAGUGGCGGACGGGUGAGGAAUACAUCGGAAUCUACUUUUUCGUGGGUGAUAACGUAGGGAAACUUACGCUAAUACCGCAUACGACCUACGGGCGAAAGCAGGGGAUCUUCGGACCUUGCGCGACUGAAUGAGCCGAUGUCGGAUUAGCUAGUUGGCGGGGUAAAGGCCCACCAAGGCGACGAUCCGUAGCUGGUCUGAGAGGAUGAUCAGCCACACUGGAACUGAGACACGGUCCAGACUCCUACGGGAGGCAGCAGUGGGGAAUAUUGGACAAUGGGCGCAAGCCUGAUCCAGCCAUACCGCGUGGGUGAAGAAGGCCUUCGGGUUGUAAAGCCCUUUUGUUGGGAAAGAAAGGCAGCAGGUUAAUACCCCGCUGUUCUGACGGUACCCAAAGAAUAAGCACCGGCUAACUUCGUG